UCAAUCUGUUUCAUGUGUAACUCAAACUAGCUCCAGACUGGGCCCGUGGAAGAAACAGCCAUCAGUGGCCAAGGAGUGUUAGGUCACACAGGGUGCAGGAAUUGCUGGAAUAUUUCUUUCAAUAAUGCAGCCCUCAUUGGAACCAAACUGUAAACAUGGUAACAAUGCUUAGCAACUCUUGGAACAAGAUCUGGCCUUCCCUUCAUCCUCAAGGAACAUAAAGAUGUAGUAGCAUGCGUCCCUGCCAGGACAUCUCUGCAAUGAUACUGCUCCUGAGGAUUUGCAAGCAGUCAUGCUCACUCAACAUUUUUUUGGAAAUUAUGCCUGAAAAAGAGACAGGAGUUCUACCCAGACUGCUGCUUAUCCCUGCAUGAUUCAUCAGGUAGUGAUCCUCUACACCUGCAGUGAAGUGACAAGCUUUCAGCUGCUCUCUUAGGGAAAAAAAAAAACAAAAAACAAAAAAACCCCCAGUAUGGUUUUAUCUAUAAACUUCCUAGAAACUUGAUAGAUUUUGUUUUCUUGAAAAUGUUUGUAGUCUUGGAGUACCAAUGCCAGAGAAG
Long non-coding RNA from Passer domesticus (house sparrow), 560 nucleotides. RefSeq lists it as uncharacterized. The record is from RefSeq and is a predicted model, not a curated record. NCBI's taxonomy places the organism in Eukaryota, Metazoa, Chordata, Aves, Passeriformes, Passeridae. The transcript is spliced from 4 exons.